CCUACGGGAGGCAGCAGUGAGGAAUAUUGGUCAAUGGACGGAAGUCUGAACCAGCCAUGCCGCGUGCAGGAAGACGGCCCUAUGAGUUGUAAACUGCUUUUGUACAAGGGUAAACCUGAAUACGUGUAUUCAGCUGAAAGUACUGUACGAAUAAGGAUCGGCUAACUCCGUGCCAGCAGCCGCGGUAAUACGGAGGAUCCAAGCGUUAUCCGGAUUUAUUGGGUUUAAAGGGUGCGUAGGCGGAUUGAUAAGUUAGAGGUGAAAUGUCCGAGCUUAACUCGGGAACUGCCUCUAAUACUGUUGGUCUAGAGAGUAGAUGCGGUAGGCGGAAUGUAUGGUGUAGCGGUGAAAUGCUUAGAGAUCAUACAGAACACCGAUUGCGAAGGCAGCUUACCAAUCUAUAUCUGACGUUGAGGCACGAAAGCGUGGGGAGCAAACAGGAUUAGAUACCCGAGUAGUC
Molecule: ribosomal RNA, 460 nt
Filed under: uncultured bacterium
Lineage: Bacteria
Description: partial 16S ribosomal RNA
Rfam family: Bacterial small subunit ribosomal RNA
Source: RNAcentral